AGUCCUUCCAAUUUACGGCGGCGCAUCUCUAUAAUCCUCCUCCUACCUUCCUCCAAUAGCCGCCACCACCAAUAUUGUCUUCAGUACCACCACCAUCAGCACUGAUUCAGUCAAUGGGUUAUAAAUGGUAUAUGGUUUUCGACAGAGGGAGGCUGAUUCUGAUUUUGAUAUGAUUUGGUAUGAGCUUGGAUUUUCAUAAAAUGGUACUUGUAAGGAUGGUAAUCCAGUAAUCCAGUUUCAUGGAAGGAUAUAUGACUAACUUUUGUAGAACAUCAUUCUCAAACAUCCAUAGAGAACUGGACGACAGGUAUAUCAACCCAAAAUUUUCUAUGAUCACUACUCCUCUACUUAGUUUCUAUCUCAGAAAACGAAUUCCUGUUCCAGAAGUAUAAGAGAGGAGUUCUUAUGUCAUCAAAAGCAUUUAUGCGUAAAACCAUAGAAUGCAAUAGCUUCAAAAUACCUUACAUGUGAUGCCCUGAGAAGGCAAGUGACGUGAUUAGAUCAAUUUUUAGUUGAAAAGGCUGAAAGACAAUGCUUGUGAUGCUAAUGACAUAAUGGAUGGAUUCUCCUAUGAAACCUCUAUAUCAAUAAAAACAGCUUGAAGACUUGAAGUAUAUGUGAUUUUGCCUCAUCCUGCAAUUUCGUUUCAACCUCACAUGAACACACGGCACUCAUGCUUGUGAUUGGCGUUGUGAUUUCUCCUCUAAUUUUCAUUAAUUUUUGUUUGGAGUUCCAUCUUACUCACUAACUCAUGGAUACCUGCCAAACCAUGACUUCUAUGCAAAGAGUUUUACAUUUGCAUCAGGGAGUCCUUCACAUGAUUCUGCAACCGUCUUCAUGCAUCUUAUGUUGAUAAACAUAUGUAUGCUGAUUAACUUAAAAUUUGCUUUUUUUUUUCUUUUCGAGAAUAUGCAUAAUGUUAUCGGUUUUGAUAGAAUGCUUAAUCAAUGGAACCUCAAUUUUGUGUGAGCACGUUGAAUAAACUCAGAUUUUUGAUAUUUG
This is a long non-coding RNA of Papaver somniferum (opium poppy), 1002 nucleotides long. RefSeq lists it as uncharacterized. The record is from RefSeq and is a predicted model, not a curated record. The transcript is spliced from 3 exons. Lineage: Eukaryota; Viridiplantae; Streptophyta; Magnoliopsida; Ranunculales; Papaveraceae.